Molecule: ribosomal RNA, 492 nt
Filed under: uncultured bacterium
Lineage: Bacteria
Description: partial 16S ribosomal RNA
Rfam family: Bacterial small subunit ribosomal RNA
Source: RNAcentral
GAUGAACGCUAGCUACAGGCUUAACACAUGCAAGUCGAGGGGAAACGGCAUCGAAAGCUUGCUUUUGAUGGGCGUCGACCGGCGCACGGGUGAGUAACGCGUAUCCAACCUGCCCAUCACUUGGGAAUAACCUUGCGAAAGUAAGACUAAUGCCCAAUGACAUCCCACGAAGGCAUCCGAAUGGGAUUAAAGAUUUAUCGGUGAUGGAUGGGGAUGCGUCUGAUUAGCUUGUUGGCGGGGUGACGGCCCACCAAGGCAACGAUCAGUAGGGGUUCUGAGAGGAAGGUCCCCGACAUGGGAACCGAGCAACGGGGCAAAGUCAUACGGGAGGCAGCAGUGAGGAAGAUUGGUCAAGGGGCGAGAGCCUGAUCCAGCCAAGUAGCGUGCAGGAUGACGGCCCUAUGGGUGGUAAACUGCUUUUAGAAGGGAAUAAAGUGGGUCACGUGUGACUUUUUGCAUGUACCUUAUGAAUAAGGACCGGCUAAUUCCGUG